GACGAACGCUGGCGGCGUGGAUUAGGCAUGCAAGUCGGACGGUAGGGCUUUAUCGUAAGAUAGAGUUUGAGAGUGGCGAACGGGUGAGUAACACGUAGGAAUCUACCCUUAAGACGGGGACAACCCAGGGAAACUUGGGCUAAUACCGGAUGAGAGUGCGAGAGAUUGCAUUUAAAAGGAUGGCGAAAGUUGUCGCUUAGGGAUGAGCCUGCGGUCUAUUAGUUAGUUGGUGAGGUAAGAGCUCACCAAGGCGACGAUAGAUAGGCGGCCUUAACGGGUGGUCGCCCACACUGGGAUUGAGAUACGGCCCAGACUCCUACGGGAGGCAGCAGUCGAGAAUAGUCUACAAUGGUCGGAAGACUGAUAGUGCGACGCCGCGUGAACGAUGAAUCCCUUCGGGGUGUAAAGUUCUUUUAUAUGUGAGCAGUGCUUCUUAUAUUAACAGUAUGGGGAGAGAGAUAUUAGCAUAUGAAUAAGCAACGGCUAACUCCGUG
This 494-nucleotide ribosomal RNA is filed under the name uncultured bacterium. Its description in RNAcentral is "bacterial SSU rRNA". It matches the Rfam family "Bacterial small subunit ribosomal RNA", at positions 28 to 507 of the family's 1533-position model. The record is from RNAcentral.